Molecule: small nucleolar RNA, 100 nt
Organism: Vitis vinifera (wine grape)
Lineage: Eukaryota; Viridiplantae; Streptophyta; Magnoliopsida; Vitales; Vitaceae
Rfam family: Small nucleolar RNA Z247
About the family: Z247 is a member of the C/D class of snoRNA which contain the C (UGAUGA) and D (CUGA) box motifs. Most of the members of the box C/D family function in directing site-specific 2'-O-methylation of substrate RNAs.
Source: Rfam
UUUGUCAGUGAAGAAGAUUUGAUACUUUAUAUUUUAGCAGGACUAGGAUCAGAAUAUGAUCCAAUUGUAUCCAGUAUUACCACCCGUAAUAGCACUGAUC